GAUGAACGCUGGCGGCGUGCCUAAUACAUGCAAGUCGAGCGAACAGACGAGGAGCUUGCUCCUUCGACGUUAGCGGCGGACGGGUGAGUAACACGUAGGUAACCUACCUAUAAGACUGGGAUAACUUCGGGAAACCGGAGCUAAUACCGGAUAAUAUUUCGAACCGCAUGGUUCGAUAGUGAAAGAUGGCUUUGCUAUCACUUAUAGAUGGACCUGCGCCGUAUUAGCUAGUUGGUAAGGUAACGGCUUACCAAGGCAACGAUACGUAGCCGACCUGAGAGGGGGAUCGGCCACACUGGAACUGAGACACGGUCCAGACUCCUACGGGAGGCAGCAGUAGGGAAUCUUCCGCAAUGGGCGAAAGCCUGACGGAGCAACGCCGCGUGAGUGAUGAAGGUCUUCGGAUCGUAAAACUCUGUUAUUAGGGAAGGACAAACGUGUAAGUAACUGUGCACGUCUUGACGGUACCUAAUCAGAAAGCCACGGCUAACUACGUG
RNAcentral lists this ribosomal RNA (497 nucleotides) under uncultured bacterium. RNAcentral describes it as "partial 16S ribosomal RNA". It matches the Rfam family "Bacterial small subunit ribosomal RNA", at positions 28 to 507 of the family's 1533-position model. The record is from RNAcentral.